UCGGGGGUUCGUGCCCCCCGUUGGGCGCCA
This 30-nucleotide unclassified non-coding RNA is filed under the name Dictyostelium discoideum. The record is from RNAcentral. Lineage: Eukaryota; Evosea; Eumycetozoa; Dictyosteliales; Dictyosteliaceae.